GGUUGGUUCUUCUUUGAACUCAAGUAUGAAAGGUGAUUUACUUAGAUUGUAAUGAUGCUAUACCUAAUGUGUUAUUGUGGUAUUGAUGACCUAGUUUCCUCAUCCUUAACCCUCUACACUUGAAUUAGCUAUGAAGUAUGUAUGUAUAUUAUGGUAUGAUUGCUAUAUGAUUGUUAUAUGAUUGAAAGGUAGUUCUCAUGAUUGUAGUGUAAUGUAAAGUGAAAGGUUUACUCAUUUGCUAAGUGUUUCUAAAGUGAAAGGAUUGUACUCACUUAUGAACACAUAUGAGCUAUUAUGAUAAGAUGUCUACAUAAGAGUCUAGUAAAGGCUAAUGUGAACUUAUAUGAUGACUAAAGAUGAUUACAAAAGGGAAUCAGAUGCUUUGAACUGUAAGGGCAUGUAAAUGAGAUGGGGGUCUCAUGUUUAGUACAUUCGGCUCCCCACAUGGGUUUCCUCACGUUUAGCAAGUGCGGAUUACCUACGGUAUGUGUUGUCUCAUGAGAUGGAAAUCCCCACGUUUAGUAAGUUAGGGUUUUUAGAAGCAAUCUCCUUGACCCUUAACUAUGUGCCCACAUAGGACUCUAGCUUAGUGGAUCCACCUAGAUAGCUAUGUACGAAUGGUUACACCGUAGGAAAGUGUUAACCCUCUCUUUUCGGUAUGGAUGUAGAACACCGGAUUCUAUAUAGCUCUCAUGGUCUAUGUCGGUUAAUGCAAUAUUUCCCUAAUGUAAAAGUAAAUGAAGGUAUGAAAGAUGUGAACUCUUAGUAGGGCUUUCUUAAGGGUUUCUACAUAGUUUAAGAGAGGGUAUGGGACUUCUGUUGCAGAUUGCACUUGUGGGAUCCUAAGAGAUGGUUGUAGUAGUGUUCUCUUAUGGUUUUGAUGAUUAUGACUUAUGUAUGUUGAAGCUAUGUUAUGUAUGAUCAUUAUGGAUAUGGUAACUUAUGAUGAAAUAUGAUCUUAUGAAUGUAUGCAUGAAGUAGGUUGCUUAAUGUGGUACUUGGCUUUUAAUAGGGUUAUGGGUUUCUAUUCUUUGCAUUGCACUAGUAUUGCCUGGGCUGUCUACAUGUUGGGAUGAUAUUAUGUUGGUUUGGACUAUGAUACUUAAUUUGUGUUCAUAUUGGAUUUACUUGGCAAAAAGCAUGUUUUGAAUAAAAUGUCCUUUUAUGCAUGUUUCAAUGGUUUUUAUGCAUAGUAGCCAUACUUAGUACGUGUGUUGUACUAACCCAUAUUUCUCCUUUUCCAACAUUUGGUUCGGGCCAUUGAGGAUUCAAGCUUACUUUUCAAGACACUUGGAGUUGCUUCCCCAAGUUGGUGAGUCCUCAAGUCCAAGGAUAAGACCCUAUGAUCUAACUUCUAUGUUUAGUUCAUUGCUUAUGUUGAAAGACAUUGUUGUACUUUCCUAUUUCAAGACUUCUUAUUGAUGUAAGGGCUAAGUCCCAUUUUCGAUACUUCUAUGUCUAGAUGGUGCAUUGUGAUGAAGUUAGAUUCUAUUUUUCAUAUAAGAAGUGAAGUUGAACUUCCAAAGUAAAAGUUUUAAAUUUUCCGCAANNNNNNNNNNNNNNNNNNNNNNNNNNNNNNNNNNNNNNNNNUCCUCAAAACCCUCAAGUUCCUAUUGAAGAAGGGGCUAUGUCUAAUGUUGAGAUAAGGUCGGCUAUUCAUAAUUUGACUCAAGUGUUGGCCACUCAAGUUGCUAGGGAUGCUAGGGUGCAAGUGAAUCCCAAUGCUAGCACUACCGCUUUUAGGAUAAGGGAUUUCACAAGGAUGAAUCCCCCUACUUUCUUUGGCUCCAAAGUGGAAGAGGAUCCACAAGGGUUCAUUGAUGAAGUGUUUAAGGUUCUAGAGGCUAUGGGUGUGUCUUCUCAAGAAAAGGCGGAGUUUAGCCUCCUAUCAACUCAAAGAUGUGGCACAAGUGUGGUAUGAACAAUGGUAGGAUGGGAGACUUAUUAGAGAGGGUCCGAUAAGUUGGGCUACAUUCAAGAUGGCUUUUAUUGAUAGGUUUUUCCCCUUGGGACUAAGGGAGAGGAAAAUGCAAGAAUUCAUCAAUCUCUGUCAAGAGGGCAUGAGUGUGAAGGAGUAUGGCCUCAAGUUCACUCAAUUGUCCAAGCAUGCUCCUACUUUGGUGUCAGACUCUAGAGCUACAAUGAACAAAUUUGUUAUGGGUGUAUCCGAUCUUGUGGUGAAUGAAUGUAGGUCGGCUAUGCUAAUCCCAAGCAUGGACAUUUCUCGCCUUAUGGUUCAUGCCGAGCAAAUUGAGGAGCAAAAGCUUAAGCGAGUUGGUAGAGAAUUGAAGAGGUCAAGGGUCGAUGAUGGAAAUUACUUCUAAGGUUAGGUUUGAAAUCCAAGAUAAGUCAAAGUUCAAAAAGAGGUUUUCUAACCAAGGUCUUCCUAACACUCCAAGGGUCAACAAAGGUAAAGUUUCUACCCCCAAGCCUCAAGAAGCAAGAGGUGGUGGUCCUUAUGUUGAGAAGCCUAUUUGUGCAAAGUGUGGUUGAAAACAUGAAGGCAAGUGCCUAGUUGGCACGGGUAAUUGCUAUGGUUGUGGUAAGAGCGGCCAUAUGAGGAGGGACUGCCCUAUGCUAAAGGCUCAAGGAAGGGAAAAUGCUCAAGCACAAGCAAGUGGCCCAAAUCCCGAUGCUCCAAAGAAGAAUCGCUUCUAUGCUCUCCAAUCCCGAGGUGAUCAAGAGAGCUCUCCGGAUGUUGUGAUCGGUAUGCUACAAGUAUUUUCAAUUAAUGUUUAUGCAUUAUUGGAUCCCGGUGCCAAUUUGUUUUUUGUAACCCCUUUAGUGGCUAUAAAGUUUGAUAUGCUUCCCGAUGUCUUAGAUAAACCCUUUUCGGUUUCUACCCCGGUGAGUGAUUCCAUAGUUGCUAAAAGUGUCUAUAGGGGUUGUCCCAUAUCUUUGCCCAAUAGAGUCACUUUGGUUGAUUUGGUGGAACUUGAGAUGUUAGACUUUGAUGUUAUAUUAGGGAUGGAUUGGCUUCAUGCUUGUUUUGCAUCCAUAGAUUGUAGGACCCGAAUUGUGAAGUUUCAAUUUCCUAAUGAACCCCUAUUUUAGAAUGGAAGGGAGGAAAUUCCGUUCCUAGGGGAAUGAUCAUUUCAUGUCUAAAAGCUUGUAAGUUGAUUUCUAAGGGUUGUCUCUAUCAUAUUGUGAGGGUCAAGGAUCUUGAGUCUGAGAUUCCUCCUUUGGAGUCGGUCCCCGUAGUGAAGAAUUUUCCGCAAGUAUUUCCCAAUGACUUACCCGGGAUUCCUCCCGAACGGGAAAUAGAUUUCGGCAUGAUUUAUUGCCGGAUACACAACCCAUUUCAAUCCCUCCUUACCGGAUGGCCCCGGCGGAGUUGAAGGAAUUAAAAGCUCAACUCAAAGAUUUGUUGGAUAAGGGUUCAUCCAACCUAAUAUAUGUCCUUGGGGUGCACUGGUGUUAUUUGUGAAGAAGAAGGAUGGAUCUCUUCGUAUGUGUAUUGAUUACCGACAGUUAAAUAAGGUGACCAUUAAGAACAAGUAUCCACUCCCUAGGACUGAUGACUUAUUUGAUCAACUUCACGGAGCGAGUUACUUUUCAAAAAUUGAUUUGAGGUCGGGUUAUCACCAACUUAGGGUGAGAGGUGUUGAUGUUCCGAAAAUAACCUUCCGAACAAGAUAUGGUCAUUUUGAGUUCUUAGUGAUGUCCUUUGGUCUUACAAAUGCCCCGGCGGAUUUCAUGGACCUUAUGAAUCGUGUGUUUAGAAAUUUUCUAGACUCAUUUGUUAUUGUCUUUAUUGAUGACAUCUUGAUAUACUCUAAAGUGAGGAUGGUCACAUGAAUCAUUUGAGGAUAGUAUUGCAAGCCCUCAAAGAUCACCAACUCUACGCUAAGUUUAGCAAGUGCGAGUUUUGGCUAAGAUCGGUUUCUUAACUUGCUCACAUUAUUUCUAGUAAGGGUAUAGAAGUUGAUCCAAAGAAAACCGAUGCGGUCAAAAGUUGGCCUAGACCUUUGAGUCCUUCCGAUAUCCGAAGCUUUUUGGAUUUGGCUGGUUACUACCGGAGGUUUGUUGGAGGAUUUUCAUCUAUUGCAUCUCCAUUAACGGCCUUAACUCAAAAUAAGUCCAAGUUCAAAUGGUUGGAAUCUUGUGAAAAGAGUUUCCAAUUGUUGAAAGAUAAGCUCACCUCCACUCCGGUUUUGACCUUACCGGAGGGCACCGAAGGGUUUGUAGUAUAUUGUGACGCUUCCAGAGUGGGUUUGGGUUGUGUCUUGAUGCAGCAUGGUAAGGUUAUAGCUUAUGCCUCGAGACAACUCAAGGUGCAUGAGAAGAAUUACCCAACUCAUGACCUUGAGCUAGCGGUCGUAGUCUUUGCUUAACUAUUUGGAGACACUAUCUCUAUAGGGUACAUGUGGAUGUGUUUACCGACCACAAGAGUCUUCAAUAUGUUUUUAGCCAAAAAGAAUUGAAUCUCCGACAAAAGAGGUGGUUGGAACUCUUAAAAGAUUAUGAUAUGAGUGUCCUUUACCACCUCGGAAAAGCAAAUGUGGUUGCGUAUGCUUUGAGUCAUAUAUCUAUGGGUAGUGUGUCACAUGUGGAAGAAGAGAAAAGGGAGUUAGCCUGUGAUGUACAUAGGCUAGCCCGGUUGGGUGUCCGACUUGAAGAUUCCCCAAAAGGAGGCGUCAUGGUCCAUCAUAAUUCGAAGUCAUCGGUUGUUGUUGACGUGAGGUCUAACCAACAUCUUGACCCUAUUUUGAUGGAACUAAAAGAGUCGGUUCUCAACAAAGCAAUAGAAACUUUCUCUCAAAGAGAAGAUAGGGUGCUUAGGCACCAAGGAAUAUUAUGUGUGCCGGAUGUGGAUGGCCUAAGAGAGACAAUCUUAGAGGAGGCCCAUGGGUCCCGAUACUCCAUCCAUCCGGGAGCCACCAAAAUGUAUCGCGACUUACGUGAGAUUUAUUGGUGGAACGCAAUGAAAAGAGACAGCAAAUUUUGUGGCUAUGAGCUCAAAUUGCCAACAAGUCAAAGCCGAGCACCAAGGACCGGNNNNNNNNNNNNNNNNNNNNNNNNNNNNNNNNNNNNNNNNNNNNNNNNNNNNNNNNNNNNNNNNNNNNNNNNNNNNNNNNNNNNNNNNNNNNNNNNNNNNNNNNNNNNNNNNNNNNNNNNNNNNNNNNNNNNNNNNNNNNNNNNNNNNNNNNNNNNNNNNNNNNNNNNNNNNNNNNNNNCCCAUUUUCUUCCCGUCAAGGUUUCUUAUUCGGCGGAAGAUUAUGCUAAGUUGUUCAUUAAGGAGAUUGUGAAAUUGCAUGGGGCCCCGUUGUCGAUUAUUUCGGAUAGAGGUGCCCAAUUUUCUUCCCAUUUUUUGUGGUCUUUCUAGAGUGGGCUUGGUACUCAAGUGAAACUUAGUACCGCAUUUCACCCUCAAAUGGAUGGUCAAGCGGAACGCACCAUCCAAACUCUAGAGGACAUAUGAGAGCGUGUGUCAUUGACUUCAAAGGUAAUUGGGAUGACCACCUACCUUUAAUAAUAUUUUCCUACAACAAUAGCUACCACUCGAGUAUUGCUAUGGCACCCUUUGAAGCACUUUAUGGUAGAAGGUGUCGAUUUCCGGUUGGGUGGUUUGAAGUAGCUGAAUUUGCUUUUCUUGGUCCCGAGGUAGUCUAUGAGGCUACGGAAAAUUUUUGACUUAUCAGGGAUAGGUUGAAAACGGCUCAUAGUCGGCAAAAGUCUUAUGCCGAUAAUAGAAAGAGAGAUCUUGAAUUUGAAGUAGGUGAUUGGGUCUACUUAAAGAUCUUACCCAUGAAAGGGGUGAUGAGGUUUGGUAAGAAGGGGAAACUUAGCCCCCGGUAUGUUGGGCCUUAUGAGAUCUUGAAGCGUGUCGGAAAGGUGGCUUAUGAGUUGAAAUUACCCAUCGAAUUGGCCCGGUUCACCCGGUGUUCCAUAUUUCUAUGUUAAAGAAGUGUAUAGAAGGUUUAGGGGUGAAUGAGAACCUUUCUUAUGAGGAGGUUCCGAUCGAAAUCCUAGAUCGUCAAGUUAAGAAGUUUAGGAAGAAAGAGGUUGCCUCCGUAAAAGUCCUAUGGAGAAACCACCUAGUUGAGGGUGCAACAUGGGAGGCCAAGGCCGACAUGAAGUCCCGCUACCCUCAUCUUUUUCCUCCUACUCCUAGCCAUAGUUGAGGUUAGUAGUCUCUCUUAAUUUGGUAUAAAUUGAAAAUCAUGUGUGUUCAUGAUUAUGAUAUGAUUUCCUUGUAUGUGCAUAUUUUUGUGAAAAUUCAUGCUUAAGUUGUAUUUUGAGUUUUCAUGAAUUUUGUUUCUCAUGAUUGAUAUUGCACCCAUAGAUGUUGUGUGAUGUUGUCUUGAAGAGAGUUGUAAUAAGCAUACUUGAUGUGGUCUUGUUAAAGAAAUGUCUUGUUGAUUGCUUAACAUAUAUGUUUAUGCUCAUUGAAUAUGGAAAAGGUAGUUCCUCCUAUACUUAUGUGAAGUAAAGAGUUUUGAGCAUAGUGAUGUUGUGGAUUAAAUUCCUAUAUGAUAUGAUGAUAUGAUGUUGUUGAUGUGACUGGUUGUGGUGCUGCUAGUUUGAGUCUUUGUCUCCCUAGAAAGAAGUCCAAGUGACAUUCGGGGAUGAAUGUUCCUAAGGUGGGGUUAUUGUAAAAUCCCGGAAAUUCUAUGACUUAAGUUAGAGCUUCACCUUAUGAAUAAUGACUUAAAAAUAGUUAAAAUGAUGUUUCUAAACCUUAAGUAAUGCAAUUGACUUGGUUUGGAAGAGUAGAAGUCUAAACGUCAAGAAACAACCACGACGUCCGGAAACUAGAGAAGAAUGUGUUCUAGUGUGUCCUUAGGUUUUGGGCAGGUUUGGGAGUGUCGUAUGAUGUUAUAAUCUGGUGAAAAGGUCUAAAAUAGGUAAAUAUAUGUUCCUAGGGUCAAAACGUUCGAAUACGACUCCCGGGACCACACUAAGGGGCCCCGAGGAGGACCCCAACCUUGGCCAAGCAAGCUGCCAAGGCAGAUUGCAAGUUGUGCAUAGAGGGAAUGAGGGCGCGUCACGCACUUGCUCCUUCAAGGAUAAAAUUUUCAGUUCGCGACGCGGUCGUGUCGCGGACUCUACUAUGUCGAAAUGUAAUUCCAAAUAUCUUCAGGGAACAGCUCCGCGUCGCGGACUUGUUCCGCAACGAAAAUGCAGAAAUUCAGAAUUCUUUCUUUACUUCAUUAAAAGUCCAUCUAAGUGAGGGUUAUUUAGGGUACUUUUGGGAACGUGUAUAUAAUGAAGUCAAUUUACCUUACUUUUAUCACUCAAACACAAAACCCCAAAGAUCUAAACCUAAAGUUCCUCCUUCUCUUUAUUCUCUCUCUUCUCAAGAACUCCAUUGAUAUAGAUUGGAACUUCAAGAAAAAGACCAACUCCCAACCUCAGAUUUUCAUGGUUAAUUCAUCAAUAAGGUGUGGUUUCUUAUCACUCUUGGGAUUCCUUUCCCCAAGAGGCCCCUUCAAGAUGAAUUUCAAAAUCUCCAAUUUCUAGGUUUCAAUCCAAAAAUGUGGGUCUUCUUUCUAAAGUGAAAUUGAUGUUAUAAACUGACUUUGAUUGAUGUUAUAUGAGCAAUUAUGGAUAAAUUUAUGUUGUCUUGGUGGUUUAUUGAAGAAUUCCCCAUGAGACCCAUGUUUUUCCUUAUUUUCCUAAUUCUAACCCUAGUUUAUGUUAGAUAAUGAUUGAAGGCUAUGAAUUGAAUGUGUUGUUAUGUAAUUCAUGUUUGUAUAAUGAUUCUACCCUAGGCUAUGUAUAAUUUCUAUGAAAUUAGGGUUGAGUCUUUGAAUGAAGCCUUGAAGGCUAUGAAGGGAAUAUGUCAAUUGCUUAUAAUUGAUGUUGAUUAUGUUAUUACUUCAUGAAUUACCUUGUAUUAUGUAUUGGUUAUGAAUUGCUUGGUAAUUGAAGUAUGGAUGUCCCACGAAGGGCAAGAAGGUAUGAAGGUUGGUUCUUCUUUGAACUGAAGUAUGAAAGGUGAAUUACUUAGAUUGUAAUGAUGUUUUACCAAAUGUGUUGUUGUGGUGUUGAUGACCUAGUUUCCUCAUCCUUAACCCUCUACACUUGAAUUAGCUAUGAAGUAUGUAUGUAUAUUAUGGUAUGAUUGCUAUAUGAUUGAAAGGUAGUUCUCAUGAUUGUAGUGUAAUGUAAAGUGAAAGGUUUACUCACUUGCUAAAUGUUUCUAAAGUGAAAGGAUUGUACUCACUUAUGAACACAUAUGAGCUAUUAUGAUAAGAUGUCUACAUAAGAGUCUAGUAAAGGCUAAUGUGAACUUAUGUGAUGACUAAAGAUGAUUACAAAAGGGAAUCAGAUGCUUAGAACUGUAAGGGCAUGUAAAUGAGAUGGGGGUCUCACGUUUAGUACGUUCGGCUCCCCACAUGGGUUUCCUCACGUUUGUCACUUAUGAAUACAUAUGAGCUAUUAUGGUAAGAUGUCUACAUAAAAGUCUAGUAAAGGCUAAUUUGAACUUAUGUGAUGACUAAAGAUGAUUACAAAAGGGAAUCAGAUGCUUAGAACUGUAAGGGCAUGUAAAUGAGAUGGGGGUCUCACGUUUAGUACGUUCGGCUCCCCACAUUGGGUUUCCUCACGUUUGGCAAGUGCGGAUUACCUACGGUAUGUGUUGUCUCAUGAGAUGGAAAUCCCCACGUUUAGUAAGUUAGGGUUUUUAGAAGCAAUCUCCUUGACCCUUAACUAUGUGCCCACAUAGGACUCUAGCUUAGUGGAUCCACGUAGAUAGCUAUGUACGAAUGGUUACACCUUAGGCAAGUGUUAACCCUCUCUUUUCGGUGUGGAUGUAGAACACCGGAUUCCAUGUAGCUCUCAUGGUCUAUGUCGGUUAAUGCAAUAUUUCCCUAAUGUAAAGGUAAAUGAAGGUAUGAAAUGUGUGAACUCUUACUAAGGCUUUCUUAAGGAUUUCUACAUGGUGUAAGGGAGUGUAUGGGACUUCUGUUGCACAUUGCACUUAUGGGAUCCUAAGAGAUGGUUGUGGUAGUGUUCUCUUAUGGUUUUGAUGAUUAUAACUUAUGUAUGUUGAAGCUAUGUUAUGUAUGAUCAUUAUGAAUAUGGUAAGUUAUGAUGAAAUAUGAUCUUAUGAAUGUAUGCAUGAAGUACGUUGCUUAAUGUGAUACUUGGCUUUGAAUAGGGUUAUAAGGUUCUAUUCUUUGCAUUGCACUAGUACUACUUGGGUUGUCUACGUGUUGGGAUGAUAUUAUGUUGGUUUGGACUAUGAUACUUAAUUAUGUGCAUAUUAGAUUUACUUGGCAAAAAACAUGUCAAACAUUUAGGUUCGGGCCGUUGAGGAUUCAAGCUUACUUCUCAAGACACUUGGAGUUGCUUCCCCAAGUUGGUGAGUCCUCAAGUCCAAGGAUAAGACCCUAUGAUCUAACUUCUAUGUUUAGUUCAUUGCUUAUGUUGAAAGACAUUGUUGUACUUCCUAUUUUCAAAACUUCUUAUUGAUGUAAGGGCUAAGUCCCAUUUUCGAUACUUCUAUGUCUAGAUGGUGCAUUGUGACGAAGUUAGAUUCUAUUUUUCAUAUAUGAAGUGAAGUUGAACUUCCAAAGUAAAA
RNAcentral lists this long non-coding RNA (9529 nucleotides) under Solanum tuberosum (potato). RNAcentral's name for it is "long non-coding RNA (STUB_LNC001658)". The record is from RNAcentral. Lineage: Eukaryota; Viridiplantae; Streptophyta; Magnoliopsida; Solanales; Solanaceae.